AUGCCUCGAGAGGUUAUUGAUUUCAACAAUGUCGAACAAGCAGUGCGAUGGAUAAUCUUUUAUCUAGAGGAACUAAGCAAUACGGGACACAAGAGCAUCUAUUUUGAUGGAUGGCGUGGGUUGGCUGCAUCGGCAGUGCUUAGGAGAAUAGCUGAAGACCCUCCACCAUCUCUGCAGAAAAAAUUUGACAAGAUUAUCCAUAUCGAUUGCUCGAGAUGGAAAAGCCGAAGAGCACUCCAGAGGACAAUUGCACAACAAGUGAAGCUUCCUAAAUGGGUAAUGGAUAAUUUUGAUACGCAAGACGAUGAAGAUGAUUUCCGUGGGAUAGAUGAAGGCUCGAGAGAUGAAAUAGAAUGUGUUGGGAGAGAGAUCAUUCAGAUCCUUUUGGGGCAAAGAUGUUUAGUGGUAUUUCAUAAUGGAAGCAAUGAUAUGGUUAAUUUAAGAGAUUAUGGAAUUCUUCAAGGGAAAUUUUUUGAUACUACAUUAUUGUGGACAUUUCGAGGAAGGUUUCGGCUAUACCCAGGAAUUGGUAGAAAGGUGGAUCGUUCCCAUCUAUUUCUCUAUAGUGGGAGGAGUCCUUUAGGCUGGAAUUAUUUCCUUGAGAACGAGGCUAGAGAAAUUGCUAGAUAUGCAGAUAAGCUUGACGAAGUAGCUACAGAGUGCUCCUUGUAUCUCUUAUCAUUAAACUCUCAGGGAGGCAACAUUGUGGACUAUGGUUGGCCCACCCAUGCUUCUAGUUAUUGGGUAUGUGAUGGGAUUAUACAGGGAGGUCAGGGUGAGGAAGCAUGGGAGGCUGCAGCUGCUCUACAUCACCAAAUAUGUAUAAAGGACUAUUCAUCUAAUACAGUGCCCUCUUUUGGCUGUGAACUGAAGACUCCUCCGAAGCGGUGGAUAUUGGCCAGGGGCAACUCUGAAACACAUGCAAGGACAAAAACAGACACAAUGAGUUUUCAUCCAGAGUCGACAUCCCUUUUCCUCGUAGCAAUCGCAAGCGGAUCUGAUCCUCCAUUGUGGUCAUUAUCUAAUGACAUGUUUCAUCAAUCGAAGAAUCUUCAUGUGCUCAAAUUAUGCGGCUGCACCUUCAGUUUUACAUGUCCACCUUUUCAUUGUUGCCGCAACUUAAGAUUCCUCGGGUUAGAUAGCUGCCAGAAUAUACGACCAGAAGAAGAUGAGAAGCCAGAUAUAGUAACAAUGGAUUUUGUUAAGAGCCUAUGGGUGAUAGACAUAUGCCAUACAGAUUGGGAUCUGCCCUCGUCACCAGAGAUAAUAGAGCAGAUGGCUGCAAAUAUGAGGGAAGUACAUAUAAAGAAUGGAAGGUUUUGGCAUAACAUUUCUGUAUGGGGACAACUACAUAAUCUACGCAAGCUUCGCAUAAUUGAUCCUACUUGCACUUUGGAAACAGGCGAAAAGAAUGAAUUCAGGUUUUUUCCCAGCUUGUCAAGAUCAACUAGCCUCAGGACUCUAGUUCUAGAUGGUUGUGUUAGUUUGGAGAAAAUUGAAGGACUACCCCUAUCACUCGAAGUAUUCAGCUUAGUUGCAGGAGUAAGAAAGGAUGAUUGCCAGGAAGCCAAAAUAAGCUGCAUCUCCUUGGUUGGUUGUGCAAGAUUAUCUGACUUCACACUUCAUGGAUCACUUCCAAACCUUGAGGAGCUUGACCUCUCAGGCACAAGAGUCAAGACACUUGACCUCACAACUCAGGCUGUGCAUGUCCCAUGUCUCCAACGAGUUGUGUUGUUGGGAUGUGAGCAACUCCGAGCUAUCCUUUGGCCAAAAAAGGGGAUGGCCCAACUAAGUUUGCUUUGCAUUGACACUCGAGGAGAAGAGAUGACGAGAACACUACCAGUUUUUGAGAAGUUAAAAAAGGGUCAUUGUCAAGCAUAUGUUGCUAUGAUGGACAUGAAAUUUAUUCAAUUGUUGGUGCUCACAAGUUCCAACAUGUUUUGGAAUUCUGACACUUAUAUGUUUAGUCUAAAUCUCUGCAUAUCUGCUUGUGGACAGUGUAACAAGAAGGAGAUGGAAUCAAGUAGCCAUGGGAAAAUAUUGGGGCCAGCCCAACCAAAGUCAUUAAUCACCAAUCCUUCUCAAUGCCCCUACAUUGAUAUAUAUAUUGAUGACAUAACUAUUGAUCAUGACUAUAAUAGUGCAUCACAAUUUCGGCCGUCGGGCUGCCAUGUGGAGAUUGGUGAGGGGAUUAGCAACACUGGCAUGGAGAGCAUACAAGGAAAUAAGGCUAUAUUCUAUGUGAUGGAGAAGGCUGAGUCAUUGGAUGUGCACGAUAAUUCUUCCAUCGCCACUGUUAUCCCUGAACUUAUGAUGUCUACAGAACAACAGAAACUUACAUGGAAACAUCUGAAAUCUUGUCACGUGGUGAGAUGCCCUAAGAUGCAUACGGUCUUCGAUACUAUGUGUAGGUACUCUAAAUUUCAAGAACUACUGAACAUUUGGGUGUCUGAUCUCUUGAUGACCCAAAGCAUUUGGAGCAAACAUUGGACAUCGGAUCAUGAAGACCAUUAUUCCUUUGUGAAACUACAGAGGAUACACCUGUUCUCUUGCCCAAGGCUCAAAUUUGUCCUCGUGAUGUCUAGGUUAUACACCUUGAGAAGCUUGGAGAUCCUCCACAUCGUAUUUUGUGGUGAUCUAAGGCAGGUGUUCCCGGUGGAGCCAGAGAUUAUGCCACUGAUAACUAGAUCCUGGCAUAUCAAUAGCCGGUGCCCUAAAGGUGCACUGGAAUUCCCAAACCUGAAGCAUAUCUACCUACAUGAGCUCCAUAAGCUGCAAGAUAUAUGCGAAGCCAAGAUGUUUGCUCCCAAGCUUGAGACAUUCAAGGUGAGGGGAUGUUGGGGUCUCAGGCGCCUCCCUGCAACUGGUCAAGAAAGCCGCCCCGUCGUGGACUGCGAGAAGGACUGGUGGGAGAAGUUGGAGUGGGACGGGCCGGAGGCCGGCCACGACCCUUCGCUCUUUGUUCCUCGCCACUCGGCAUAUUACAAGAAGAAGCUGCCUAGAGCCUCAGUUCUCCGGUGA
Molecule: ribosomal RNA, 3021 nt
Filed under: Triticum aestivum (bread wheat)
Lineage: Eukaryota; Viridiplantae; Streptophyta; Magnoliopsida; Poales; Poaceae
Description: partial small subunit ribosomal RNA
Source: RNAcentral